Molecule: ribosomal RNA, 456 nt
Filed under: uncultured bacterium
Lineage: Bacteria
Description: bacterial SSU rRNA
Rfam family: Bacterial small subunit ribosomal RNA
Source: RNAcentral
AGGUGCUGCACGGCUGUCGUCAGCUCGUGUCGUGAGAUGUUGGGUUAAGUCCCGCAACGAGCGCAACCCUCGUGUUUAGUUACUAACAGUUCGGCUGAGGACUCUAAACAGACUGCCUGGGUAACCAGGAGGAAGGUGAGGACGACGUCAAGUCAUCAUGGCCCUUACGGCCAGGGCUACACACGUGCUACAAUGGGGUAUACAAAGAGCUGCAAUACGGUGACGUGGAGCAAAUCUCAUAAAAUAUCUCCCAGUUCGGAUUGAAGUCUGCAACUCGACUUCAUGAAGUUGGAAUCGCUAGUAAUCGUAGAUCAGCAAUGCUACGGUGAAUACGUUCCCGGGUCUUGUACUCACCGCCCGUCACACCAUGGGAAUUGAAUUCAUUCGAAGCGGGGAUGCUAAAAUAGCUACCUUCCACAGUGGAUUUAGUAACUAGGGUGAAGUUCAAGCAACAUA